This 243-nucleotide ribosomal RNA is filed under the name uncultured Eubacteriales bacterium. RNAcentral's name for it is "uncultured Clostridiales bacterium partial 16S ribosomal RNA". It matches the Rfam family "Bacterial small subunit ribosomal RNA", at positions 796 to 1041 of the family's 1533-position model. Lineage: Bacteria; Bacillati; Bacillota; Clostridia; Eubacteriales. The record is from RNAcentral.
CACGCCGUAAACGAUGAAUGCUAGGUGUCGGGGGUCGAACCUCGGUGCCGCAGCUAACGCAUUAAGCAUUCCGCCUGGGGAGUACGGUCGCAAGACUGAAACUCAAAGGAAUUGACGGGGACCCGCACAAGCAGCGGAGCAUGUGGUUUAAUUCGAAGCAACGCGAAGAACCUUACCAGGACUUGACAUCCUCUGCAUUAACCUUAAUAGGUGAAAUCCCUUCGGGGACAGAGAGACAGGUGG